UUAUCGCCAACGUCCAGCUGAUGGUAAUGA
RNAcentral lists this non-coding RNA (30 nucleotides) under Mus musculus (house mouse). Lineage: Eukaryota; Metazoa; Chordata; Mammalia; Rodentia; Muridae. The record is from RNAcentral.